This 253-nucleotide ribosomal RNA is filed under the name uncultured bacterium. RNAcentral's name for it is "partial 16S ribosomal RNA". It matches the Rfam family "Bacterial small subunit ribosomal RNA", at positions 524 to 776 of the family's 1533-position model. The record is from RNAcentral.
UACGGAGGGUGCAAGCGUUAUCCGGAUUCACUGGGUUUAAAGGGUGCGUAGGCGGGUAAGUAAGUCCGUGGUGAAAUCUCUGAGCUUAACUCAGAAACUGCCGUGGAUACUAUUUGCCUUGAAUAUUGUGGAGGUGAGCGGAAUAUGUCAUAUAGCGGUGAAAUGCUUAGAUAUGACAUAGAGCACCAAUUGCGAAGGCAGCUCACUACACAAUCAUUGACGCUGAGGCACGAAAGCGUGGGGAUCAAACAGG